UAGCGGGUUAGAGUCCCGCCCGGGUAAUCGUGAGCCGCGAGCCCGGUAUCAAGCCUUACGGCGCGAAGGGUAACUGACGCGUCGGUGCGUAGGCAUGAAAACAGGCGAGGUGCAAAGGUAGCGGGU
Non-coding RNA from Thiorhodovibrio sp., 126 nucleotides. NCBI's taxonomy places the organism in Bacteria, Pseudomonadati, Pseudomonadota, Gammaproteobacteria, Chromatiales, Chromatiaceae. The record is from Rfam.